ACUCCUACGGGAGGCAGCAGUGGGGAAUUUUGGACAAUGGGCGAAAGCCUGAUCCAGCAAUGCCGCGUGAGUGAAGAAGGCCUUCGGGUUGUAAAGCUCUUUUGUCAGGGAAGAAACGGUGAAAGCUAAUAUCUUUUGCUAAUGACGGUACCUGAAGAAUAAGCACCGGCUAACUACGUGCCAGCAGCCGCGGUAAUACGUAGGGUGCAAGCGUUAAUCGGAAUUACUGGGCGUAAAGCGUGCGCAGGCGGUUUUGUAAGUCUGAUGUGAAAUCCCCGGGCUCAACCUGGGAAUUGCAUUGGAGACUGCAAGGCUAGAAUCUGGCAGAGGGGGGUAGAAUUCCACGUGUAGCAGUGAAAUGCGUAGAUAUGUGGAGGAACACCGAUGGCGAAGGCAGCCCCCUGGGUCAAGAUUGACGCUCAUGCACGAAAGCGUGGGGAGCAAACAGGAUUAGAAACCCCAGUAGUCCCA
RNAcentral lists this ribosomal RNA (471 nucleotides) under uncultured organism. RNAcentral's name for it is "partial 16S ribosomal RNA". It matches the Rfam family "Bacterial small subunit ribosomal RNA", at positions 335 to 797 of the family's 1533-position model. The record is from RNAcentral.